Molecule: ribosomal RNA, 119 nt
Filed under: Neogobius melanostomus (round goby)
Lineage: Eukaryota; Metazoa; Chordata; Actinopteri; Gobiiformes; Gobiidae
Source: RNAcentral
GCUUUCGGCCAUACCACCCUGAGCACGCCCGAUCUUCGUCUGAUCUCGGAAGCUAAGCGAGGUCGGCCUGGUUUAGUACUUGGAUGGAGACCGCCUGGGAAUACCAGGUGCAGUAAGCU